Molecule: long non-coding RNA, 1639 nt
Organism: Megalobrama amblycephala (Wuchang bream)
Lineage: Eukaryota; Metazoa; Chordata; Actinopteri; Cypriniformes; Xenocyprididae
Exons: 2
Source: RefSeq, a predicted model, not a curated record
AUGAGACAUAUAUGAUUGGAUGAAUUAUUCACAAUAAGAUCAAUAAGAUGCAUUUAGAAAAUAGAUAGGGUGAACUUCCAUUUCAUGCUGACUUUAAGCUCAGAAAGGAGAAUAUUUUUUAAAAAUUCAAAUAUCAAAGCAUCUCUCUCUCUCAGGUCAUUAACUGUGAUCAGAUUAUUUGAGACGUGAUCAGAGAGGAGGUCGAUGGUUCUAAUAAUAUAAUGAGCAAGUGCACUAUUCAACUGAUCAAGCUUUGCUGACUUACACACCAUUACAUCAUCUGUUUUCAUCAUUUGCUUGAACCAGCCAGGAUGACAAGGAGUCAAGGUGAGAUGGGCAAUACUGAGAAAAUCGUCAGCAAACAAAAGAAAGACUCAACUGAGCUUUGAGCUUGCAAAAACAAAUGCUUGAGAUCUUUCAUCCCUUUUAGUUCUGCUGUGCCGAGGAGCACAACCCAACCCUGGAGGACUGUUUCUCUCCACGUUCACUCGAAAUAGCUGCUCCACACCCUGGGUUGCCCAUCAGUCUUUAGAAAUGUGACCCCAAUACCAAGGACCAUGGAGACUCGACAUAGUCUUGGCAGCCAAAAGUGCCCAGAUGUCCCUACGAUAUUGGGCAUGCGUCCAAGCCGUCUGAGUGGCCCGAAAUACUUCAUGCCACCAGAUAGAAAAGGGGGCUGAAAGAAAACAACUCCAAAAUGGCAGCCGAAGCAAAGCAGGGAGAGUAUAAGGGGAAGUGAACAGCUUGCAGCCAGAAGGUCAGCCACCCAGAGUUCAGAGAAUAGAGAGUGGCUCGGAAAGGUGUACAGACGAUGACAGUGACUGGCUUUGACAGUCGGACAUGGGAGAGAGGUCCAAAAGCAAGUGACAGAGGAGAGUUCCUGUGCGAGUGAAGUCAAGAGCCGGAGACGCUGCACAUAUGGUGAAGGGUGUCAUAGUUCCUGUCUGUAGCUCUCGGAGGAGGCCAUAUGCCCCCACAGCAGGUCUGGACACCAAUGGACUGCCAUUAUCUGCAUAAUUUAACAAGAAAAGCCCAGGACCAGAGAACAUGGAGCGAGAUGAAGGAGACUUGUAGCAGAGUCGCCAGGAUUCUCAUCGGCCUGUUUCUCUCCCAUUAACCCAAGAGACCCUGGACAACCAACACUUUAACCUCCUGGUAUUUUUGCUUUCUUUUGACAUGGAACUUCUUCAGUGACAGUGCAUCAUCUAUGAUGUGAUGAUUCACGACCGCCCACCUCUGCGUUAACACCUCACGAUCAUUGCUGCAUGUAAAUGCACACAUUUAGUAAAUGUCUCCCCUACAAUUAAAAGAGACGAGAGGAGGAUAUAUUCAACAUGUUGAAUACUGUACCUGUCAAGACUCUGAAAUUAUUACAAUCACCCCCUGAAGCAAACCGGAAAGCCUGUCAGAUGGAGCUGUCUCCCUCUCUGCAUACAUAGCCACAGCUAAUGAGCAAAUGAGCCGUACAGACAAAAACCUGUUCUGUGCAGACAGUUGAGGAGACCAUCAUCAUAGUCAACCUGAAAUGCACUCCAAACUUUAGUUGAACAAAAUUGGAUGUGCCCUCAAACUGUUUUGUAGCUUGUGUUGAUUUCAGCCACUCUGCUAUAUGCAAGUAAUAAAUCUCUGUCAUCUGAAA